RNAcentral lists this long non-coding RNA (237 nucleotides) under Sus scrofa (pig). RNAcentral describes it as "lncRNA (ENSSSCG00015077273.1)". Lineage: Eukaryota; Metazoa; Chordata; Mammalia; Artiodactyla; Suidae. The record is from RNAcentral.
AUGAGUGAGAGAAUCCAGGUUGGGGAAACAGCCCCAGAACGACCAAAAAGUCUCAAAUUUCUUUCAAAGCAUCAAAGUGCUCAGGAUAAAACAAAACAAACAAACAAAAAAAACAACCAACCAACCACACAAAAGUUAUCCAAGAAGAAAGGUAGGACUCAAUCUACAGAAUCAGAACACCUUGACCUUGGCUGCCAAAAUGCAAACUAAAAUAAAACACUUUUUCUUAGUUGUAUU